CUCCUGAUCUCUCCCCGUCCCUUUUGACUAGUGUCUCUGACUGCCUCUCUGCUGUUUCUAACAGGAUGGCUGCCCACUUCCUUAAACUAAACUUGACCAAAACUGAAAUUCUGGUCUUUCCUCCUUCAAGUGUUGUUACUCCUGUGUCUGUCUCCCUCCAAGUCAACAGUGCUACCAUCAGCUCCACCACGCAGGCUCGCUGCCUAGGUGUUCUCUUUGACUCUGAC
This is a non-coding RNA of Pelobates cultripes (western spadefoot toad), 227 nucleotides long. The record is from the annotation of a GenBank genome assembly. NCBI's taxonomy places the organism in Eukaryota, Metazoa, Chordata, Amphibia, Anura, Pelobatidae.